RNAcentral lists this ribosomal RNA (253 nucleotides) under uncultured bacterium. RNAcentral's name for it is "partial 16S ribosomal RNA". It matches the Rfam family "Bacterial small subunit ribosomal RNA", at positions 524 to 776 of the family's 1533-position model. The record is from RNAcentral.
UACGAAGGGGGCUAGCGUUGCUCGGAAUCACUGGGCGUAAAGGGUGCGUAGGCGGGUCUUUAAGUCAGGGGUGAAAUCCUGGAGCUCAACUCCAGAACUGCCUUUGAUACUGAAGAUCUUGAGUUCGGGAGAGGUGAGUGGAACUGCGAGUGUAGAGGUGAAAUUCGUAGAUAUUCGGAAGAACACCAGUGGCGAAGGCGGCUCACUGGACCGGCAUUGACGCUGAGGUGCGAAAGCGUGGGGAGCAAACAGG